AGGACGAACGCUGGCGGCGUGCUUAACACAUGCAAGUGGAGCGACGAACCAGGGCUUGCCCUGGGGCAGAGCCGCGAACGGGUGAGUAACACGUGGGUUACCUGCCUUGAUGACCGGGACAACCCGAGGAAACUCGGGCUAAUACCGGAUGUGCCCGCAAGGGGAAAGGAAGCUUCGGCCUCCGCAUCAAGAUGGGCCCGCGGCCCAUUAGCUUGUUGGUGAGGUAACGGCUCACCAAGGCUUCGAUGGGUAGCUGGUCUGAGAGGACGAUCAGCCACACUGGGACUGAGACACGGCCCAGACUCCUACGGGAGGCAGCAGUGGGGAAUCUUGCGCAAUGCGCGAAAGCGUGACGCAGCAACGCCGCGUGGGGGAAGAAGGCUUUCGGGUUGUAAACCCCUUUCAGUUGGGACGAAGCUUCUCCGGUGAAUAGCCGGAUGGAGUGACGGUACCUUCACAAGAGCACCGGCUAACUACGCGCCAGCAGCCGCGGU
RNAcentral lists this ribosomal RNA (494 nucleotides) under uncultured bacterium. RNAcentral describes it as "SSU rRNA". It matches the Rfam family "Bacterial small subunit ribosomal RNA", at positions 26 to 521 of the family's 1533-position model. The record is from RNAcentral.